Non-coding RNA from Pelobates cultripes (western spadefoot toad), 229 nucleotides. NCBI's taxonomy places the organism in Eukaryota, Metazoa, Chordata, Amphibia, Anura, Pelobatidae. The record is from the annotation of a GenBank genome assembly.
GGACAAAUCUGCACUGACCCCCCACUCAAACAAUUCAAUUCCUGGGCUUUGAAAUAGAUUCCAGGUCUUGCACUCUCCACCUCCUGGCUACUAAGGUGACGGCCAUCAGGAAAGAGAUAUGCAAGGUCCUCUAGAUCGACUCCAUUCCUCUUCGACAACUGGCACGGAUAGUAGGACUUUUAUCCUCCUCCAUCCAGGCCAUAUUUCCAGGCCCCCUACACUAUCGAGC